AAGACGCUGGCGGUAGGCCUAACACAUGCAAUUCGAACGGCAGCACAGGAGAGCUUGCUCUCUGGGUGGCGAGUGGCGGACGGGUGAGGAAUACAUCGGAAUCUACUUUUUCGUGGGGGAUAACGUAGGGAAACUUACGCUAAUACCGCAUACGACCUACGGGUGAAAGCAGGGGACCUUCGGGCCUUGCGCGAUUGAAUGAGCCGAUGUCGGAUUAGCUAGUUGGCGGGGUAAAGGCCCACCAAGGCGACGAUCCGUAGCUGGUCUGAGAGGAUGAUCAGCCACACUGGAACUGAGACACGGUCCAGACUCCUACGGGAGGCAGCAGUGGGGAAUAUUGGACAAUGGGCGCAAGCCUGAUCCAGCCAUACCGCGUGGGUGAAGAAGGCCUUCGGGUUGUAAAGCCCUUUUGUUGGGAAAGAAAUCCAGCUGGCUAAUACCCGGUUGGGAUGACGGUACCCAAAGAAUAAGCACCGGCUAACUUCGUGCCAGCAGCCGCGGUAAUACGAAGGGUGCAAGCGUUACUCGGAAUUACUGGGCGUAAAGCGUGCGUAGGUGGUCGUUUAAGUCCGUUGUGAAAGCCCUGGGCUCAACCUGGGAACUGCAGUGGAUACUGGGCGACUAGAGUGUGGUAGAGGGUAGCGGAAUUCCUGGUGUAGCAGUGAAAUGCGUAGAGAUCAGGGAGGAACAU
This 691-nucleotide ribosomal RNA is filed under the name Stenotrophomonas sp. HPC1380. Its description in RNAcentral is "bacterial SSU rRNA". It matches the Rfam family "Bacterial small subunit ribosomal RNA", at positions 30 to 709 of the family's 1533-position model. The record is from RNAcentral. Lineage: Bacteria; Pseudomonadati; Pseudomonadota; Gammaproteobacteria; Lysobacterales; Lysobacteraceae.